CAAUGCCCAAUCUCCACUGACCAAUUAAUAAGUUCCAUUGCUGUAUAUGGGUUGAUGCCACGCUCAAGUGGCAGUCAUUGUAUCAGCAUUUUGUCUAAUUUAUGUGUUGAAUCAUGUGCUAUUAUUCAUCAAGCUAUGCAUUUCCUAUCUGUAAGAGAUGAAUUUUAUAGUAAUUAUCCAGACAAGAUUGAGUCUUUGUUCAUGUUCCCAUAGUAACUAGACCAAGGAUUCUAAAAGUGCAAGGCAGAGAGCUGCGCCUGAAUAAAGCCUGUGGAACCGUUGCCGACUGCACAUUUGAAGAGCUGUGUGAGAGAGUGCGUAUAAUUUGCUCUGCGUCGACUCCUAUAUCAAGCUUAUUUUUGCAUCAACAUCAUGACAGUGAGUUGGAGCAAAGCAGAAUACUGAUGGAUGAUUUGGGGCUGAGCCAGGUAGGUGACAUUAACAUAAUCUCUUUUUAUUAUAAAAUAGCUUAAUUGUUUUUGGUUUGAUGCAUGGCUACAUUUUGAAGAAGAAAUGCAGUGUAUAGUUAACCAUUGAUUGGCUGCUUCUUCUAUAAGCUCGUGUAGCAAAUUUAUCAUUCUCAAUAUCACUAAAUAUAGAAAAUUAUAAACUUACAGUGGAAGGAACCUUAGUGGUCAUGUAGUUCAGUGCUCCAUUUUUGCAUGUGAGAAAAAUGAAGCCCACAGAGGUGGACUAAGGUGCCCACAGUCACACCGCUGAAUAAUGGCAGGCCAGAGCUGGAUGCCAAGCCACCUGUGACUGGUUCUGGGCUUGCUCUGCUAUACCAUGCUGACGUUUCUGGAUAUCUUUCUAAAUGAUUGCUGGAUUUGUAGAGUGCAUGAUACAGUAUCCAAGCAUGUAGCCUGGCUAGUCCAGGACCAUGGAGUGCCUAGCAAGGCCCCGGGCUUGAAAAGAAAUCCCUAACUAAUCUCCCAACCUCCAUUCUGCAAACAUUUAUGGAGUACCUGUGGGUGCCAGGCUCUGGAGACACUCUGUAGGGAACAAACAGAUGCUAGCCCAGUUCUCCUGGAGCUUGGAGUCUGGUAAUUCACCCCAGGCCAACCAAAAGUGACUUUGCAUUUUCUUCUUCUAUAAGAAUGUUACAGGAUGUGUUUCUCAACUAUCGACAACUGAAAAAUUAGUCAAAAGUUUACAACUAUCAACACUCACCCCAUAAGGGGAGCCCAAUUCUUCCAGCCCCACAGGUGAAAGACCGUCUGGAACAAGGAAACAAUUCCUUAUCAACCUGAGUAGAAAUGAGGCAUUUUCAGGAGUUUGGGAGAACGAGGCCAAUUUAAAAAGUGAACUUUCCAAUAUGAUGACUUAAACCUGUGUAUGUCUUAGUCUGCUAUAACAAAACACCAUGAACUGGGUAGCUUACAGACAACAGAAAUUUAUUUCUAACAGUUCUGGAGGCUAGGAAGUCCAAGAUCAGGGUGCCAGAUUUGGCAUCGGAUGAAGGCCCACUUCCUAGUUCAUCAGCCUCUGUCUUUUUUGUAUAAACCUCACAUGGUGGAAGGGGUGAGGGAUCUCUCUGGGGCAUCUUUUAUAAAGGCAUUAAUCCCAUUCAUGAGGGCUCCACCCAUAAGACCUAAUCAUCUCCCAAAGGGACAAAAACAUUCAGUAGCCUCCAAUACCAUCACCUUAUGGGUUAGGAUUUCAGCAUAUGAAUUUUGGAUGUACAUAAACAUUCAGAUCUAAGCUAGAACAGUUUCAUCCUGAAACCAUCCCCCUGCCCCUGGUCCAUGGAAAAAUUGUCUUCCACGAAACUGGUCCCUGGUGCCAAAAGGUUGGUAAAGUUUACAUCAUUGGCUCUUAAAACUUUUUUCCCCUAGGCUGAUGCAAUGGGUCAUUCCUAUAAUCCUAGCACUUUGGGAGGCCGAGGUGGGCAGACUGCUUUGAGCUCAGGAGUUCCAGACCAGCCUGGGCAACAUGGUGAAACACCAUUUCUACAAAAAAUAAAAAUAAAAAUAAAAAAAUUAGCCGGGUGUGGUGGCACACACCUGUAAUCCUAGCUACUGGGGAGGCUGAGGCAGGAAGAUCACUUGAACCCAAAAGGCAGAGGUUGCAGUGAGCCAAGAUGGCACCACUGCACUCCAGGCUGGGUGACAGAGUGAGACCCUGUCUCAAAUUCCUCGAGGAUCAAGAAAAAAUAAGCUCAGCAGAUAGAGCCAAUCAUAUAUGAAGAAAUCAGGGAAUGUGAUCUCAGGGUCUUGAAGGUUCACAAAUGGAUCAGUGGAGAAGAUGGACUUAGGAAUCUAGAAUUUUUCUCUGAAAAAGCAUACUAGCAAACCCCUAAGGAAAGAGAAAAAUUCCAAGCCCACUUAGUGGCCAUGAGUCUGUGUUGGUGUCACCAGUCUGGGGUUACCAGCCUCACAGAGACAGGGCUUCCCAACUUGGUCCUAGAUGGUGGGAUCAAUUGUCCCAGCAGCUGAAGACUAAAAACAGCCCUGGCUUUCAGCCCUGGCUUUUAGAUCCCAGGCACAUUCUCCAGAACCCAGACCCACUGUUCAUUUGCAUUUGCUCUCCUUUAGUCAUUGGUUGAAUUGGAAAAGGCUCUCCAGAGGUUUGUCCUUAGGGCCUCCCCCUUAGGCACUGGUACCCUGUCUGGAGGCCUACACCAGCCUCUUUCUGGCUUCUCAGAACUACUGGGGGUUUUUUUGCCAUUACUUAUUUCUGGUGUGCACUUUUGGAGAAAGUUUUCCCUUUUAAGUUUUCUCUCUGAUAAUUUGAUGUGUUUACUGCCUAUCAGUUUAAAUUGGUUGACUCUCUAGUCUCAUUUAAGGGAUUGUAUAUGAAAAAAAAGUUAUAAAAAAAGGCAUAAUCUAAACCGGUAAGCCUAAAAAGUUUUUUUAAACCUAUACUUAGGUUCUGUAAAUUUUCAUUUGUGAUAGCUUUAAUUUAAUUUCUUUGUUUUAUAACCAGGAUUCAGCAGAAGGACUCUCCAUGUUUACCGGAGAAGAGGAAAUCUUUGCAUUUCAGCGCACGAUUUCCCGACUCACGGAAAUGCAGACUGAACAGUACUGGAACGAAAGAGACAGAACCAAGAAGUAACUGUCACUUUUGCAUAAAUAAAACUCUAGACAAAUGGUUA
This 3094-nucleotide small RNA is filed under the name Pongo abelii (Sumatran orangutan). Its description in RNAcentral is "retained intron". Lineage: Eukaryota; Metazoa; Chordata; Mammalia; Primates; Hominidae. The record is from RNAcentral.